Molecule: non-coding RNA, 99 nt
Organism: Acanthosepion pharaonis
Lineage: Eukaryota; Metazoa; Mollusca; Cephalopoda; Sepiida; Sepiidae
Source: the annotation of a GenBank genome assembly
GUCAAAACACCAGUUCUCAUCCAAUCACUGAAGUUAAGCAACGUCAAGACUAGUCAGUACCUAGAUGGGUGACCACUUGGAAAUACCAGCUGCUGUAAG